Molecule: unclassified non-coding RNA, 6341 nt
Filed under: Hevea brasiliensis (rubber tree)
Lineage: Eukaryota; Viridiplantae; Streptophyta; Magnoliopsida; Malpighiales; Euphorbiaceae
Source: RNAcentral
AGUCGACCCAAUUUUAUGUCUGAAUUUUCCGGUCACUGUGUCAAUUCGCGGGGUCGGUCUUUUUAAUAAUUGGAAUUAGGUUAUGAUUGGCAUUUUGAAAAAUUGUUCGGUGGCAUUUUCGCCACUGAAUUUCCAACCUUUCUCCGCUGUUCUGUGCCUCACGAAACUGAAAACAAAGCUUCUCAAAGCCAAGCCAAGCGACUACCAUUUCUCUUUCUCCCUCGCUCUGUACUGCGUCUACAAAUCCAAGAAAGCAAAUAACAAUCCCAUACUUCACUUGUUUUCCCAACUCUCAAAACUGCUCAAUUUUGAUUUUCUUCGGACUUCAGGUUGGAAUGAUUGGAUACAUUGUAAUAUUGUGAACUAUUAGGGGACUAAGAACAGCUUCUUGGUCCCCAUCAGAUGAGAACAGCUUCUUGGUCCCCAUAAGAUGAGUUUCAAUUUUGUCAAGAAGAGGCUGUGUGAGGGAUAAUAAUGAGCUUACAAUUCCAAUCCUCGUUUCUUGGGAUUCCGCUUUCCAGCUCUUUAAAUGGCCAAAACCAUGCCAAUUCCUUGUAUUUGGGAAGAGGUCCAUUAUCAAGAAGGAUAUUUCGCAAAUGUAUGUGCGCCAAAAAGCAUAAUGAAUGGAUUACUCAAGCGAUUAGGUUUUCAAAUUUUUGUGGCAAGUAUGUAGUGUUUGUAAGGAAUGCCAUUGGAUCAAGAAGUGGGUUGAAGGUGGAAUGUGUGAGAGAGCCUUUUGCUCAAAGCAAAGCUCUUGUGCGGUCGUUGGCUCCUUUGUGGAAAGAGGGAUUACUUCUAGUCAGAGGUUCUGUUUUUGUUGCUGUUAUAUCUGGGGUGUGCUUGUUGGUGUGGUAUGGGCAGAACAAAGCCAAGGGUUACAUUGAGUCCAAGCUUUUGCCUUCCAUUUGUUCAGUGCUUAGUGAUUAUAUUCAGCGUGAGAUUGAUUUUGGUAAGGUUCGGAUGGUUUCUCCUUUAAGCAUAACUCUAGAGUCAUGCUCAAUCGGGCCUCAUGGUGAAGAAUUUUCUUGUGGUGAGGUACCUACUAUGAAGCUCCGUCUUUGCCCUUUUGCAAGUUUGAGAAGGGGGAAGAUUGUGAUUGAUGCGGUUUUAUCGCAUCCUAGUGUUGUGAUUGUGCAAAAAAAGGAUUACACUUGGUUAGGUAUACCAUCAUCUGAAGGUUGUCUACAAAGACACUUAUCCACUGAAGAAGGGAUCGAUUAUCGUACCAAAACAAGGAGAGUUGCUAGGGAGGAAUUAGCUGCUUGCUGGGAAAAAGAGAGGGAUAAUGAUGCAAAAGAAGCUGCAGAGAGGGGUUACAUUGUUCCUGAGAGAGAUUCUAGCUUGUCUGAAGAUGAUGUUUGGCAGGAGGAUGCAACUCAUUUGAUAAAUUUAACAAACUACAAGUCUUUCUCAUGCAUGGAUGAAAAGAUGCACUGGAGGGAUCAUCACUGCAUGGAUACAGGUCUUGAUUAUGAUAUGAAGCAUGCUGAUUUGGAAAAAUCUUUUGGUGUAAAAUUUCCUGGUUCAGGUCUUAAAUUCUGGUCUAGUGUGAUUAAAGGAACCAAAAAACGCAAAUUUAAGAGGAGGGGUAAUGGGUGUGAUAACUCAGCAGCUGGUGUAAAUGCUAAAAGACGAAUCCUUGAACGCAGUGCAUCAACAGCAAUUGCGUAUUUCCGUGGCCUGUCCAAUGGGGAGUUUGAUGAACCUUCUCAAUCAUCUGAUGGUUAUGAUAUUAUGAAUCUUGACACACUUUUGGUGCAAAUCCAAGGUGAUAAUAAUGCAGACAUAUCUGUUGAUGCAAGUAGUGGGGAAGAAUGUUUACCUGCCGACAACUAUAAUGGAGAACCUGAUGAAAAUUCAGGAAUCCAGCCUCUCCCAAGGAAGCGGCAUUUACUUAGUCAUAUGUAUGAUUUCAGUCUUAUACGUGAUCCAUUUCUUAGAACUCUAGAUAGACUUAUUGAAGCUGCAAAAGUUGGUGAAAAUUUUCCAUCUAGCACAAAUGUUGUAGGAGAUGCUAAAACCAAUGGUGUAAAUGGUGAGGAUUCAUCAGUUGGUGUUGUAAAUAGAAAUAUGGAUGCAAAUACAUCUGAGAUUAAUAAUUAUACUUCUGAAAAGCUUUAUUCUGAGCCUGCAAUGGACCAUUCAGUUUCAAGUUCGUCCCUGAGCUUAAAUUCUGGCUUAUCAUCCUUUUCAAGAAAUAUAAGGGGAUUGCUAUCUUAUCUUUUGGUUGGUCCCAUUCAGAAACUGAGGUCAGGAUUGGGCCCAAAAGUUGAAGAUAUUGUUGCAGAGCUUGUUGAUGGUGUAGAUGUAGUGCCAAGUGAAGGAAUUGAGAAGAUGCUUCCAGUUUCACUAGAUUCUGUUCAUUUCAAAGGUGGAACACUAAUGCUGCUUGCGUAUGGUGACAGGGAGCCUAGAGAGAUGGCGAACGUCAAUGGACACUUGAAGUUCCAAAAUCACUAUGGUCGUGUGUAUGUCCAGUUGAGUGGCAACUGUAAGAUGUGGAGAUCUGAUGCAAUAUCUGAAGAUGGUGGCUGGUUAUCUGCAGAUGUUUUUGUUGAUAGUGUUGAGCAGAAUUGGCAUGCUAAUAUAAAAAUUGCCAAACUCUUUGCUCCGCUUUUUGAAAGGAUUUUAGAAAUUCCAAUUGCUUGGUCCAAAGGGAGAGCCACUGGUGAGGUUCAUAUUUGCAUGUCCAGAGGGGAGACAUUUCCUAAUCUUCAUGGUCAGCUUGAUGUGACAGGAUUAGCCUUUCAGAUAUUUGAUGCUCCAUCAUCAUUUUCUGACAUUUCAGCAAGUUUAUGUUUUCGUGGUCAACGGAUAUUCUUGCACAAUGCAAGUGGCUGGUUUGGCAGUGUUCCUUUGGAAGCUUCUGGAGAUUUUGGCAUUCAUCCAGAGGAAGGGGAGUUUCAUCUAAUGUGUCAAGUUCCUAAUGUUGAAGUAAAUGCCCUGAUGAAAACGUUUAAGAUGAGACCUUUAUUAUUCCCGUUAGCAGGUUCUGUAACUGCUGUAUUUAACUGUCAAGGCCCCCUUGAUGCUCCUGUAUUUGUGGGAAGUGGGAUGGUUUCCAGGAAGAUAUCUCAUUCAGUUUCAGAAGUCCCUGUGUCCUCUGCGUAUGAGGCAGUGUUGAGAAGCAAAGAGGCUGGUGCUGUAGCAGCAUUUGACCGUGUUCCAUUUUCAUAUCUGUCAGCUAAUUUCACAUUUAACACUGACAAUUGUGUUGCUGAUUUGUAUGGAAUCAGAGCUAGCCUCGUGGAUGGUGGUGAAAUUCGGGGGGCAGGGAAUGCAUGGAUUUGCCCUGAGGGUGAGGUGGAUGAUUCAGCAAUGGAUGUAAAUUUCUCUGGCAAUUUUUCCUUUGAUAAGAUCAUGCAUCGAUAUAUUCCAGGUUAUCUUCAGCUGAUGCCACUAAAAUUAGGGGACCUAACGGGAGAAACAAAACUUUCUGGAUCCCUUUUGAGACCGAGGUUUGACAUCAAGUGGAUUGCACCAAAAGCUGAAGGAUCAUUUAGUGAUGCUCGAGGAGAUAUCAUGAUCUCACAUGAUUAUAUUACUGUGAACUCUUCAUCUGUUGCUUUUGAGUUAUACACAAAAGUUCAGACAACUUAUCCUGAUGAAUACUGGCUAGACAGAAAAGAGUUUGAUGCAAAAAAUGGAAUACCAUUUACUAUUGAAGGAGUUGAGUUGGACCUACGCAUGCGUGGUUUUGAGUUUUUCAGCUUGGUCUCUUAUCCUUUUGAUUCUCCACGACCUACACAUUUGAAAGCAACUGGAAAAGUCAAAUUUCAGGGAAAUGUUCUGAAGCCUUCAAGUAUUGUUAAUGAUAAGGAUCUUCUUUCUGACAAGAAUGUGUCCCAUGGGCAAAUAGGGGUGAACAAAGAAAGUCUUGUUGGUGAGGUUUCAGUGUCAGGUCUUAGACUAAAUCAGCUGAUGCUGGCGCCUCAGUUGGUUGGGCAGUUGGGCAUAUCACGUAACCAUAUCAAGUUGGAUGCCAUGGGUAGGCCAGAUGAAAGUCUUGCAGUUGAGGUUGUGGCGCCCUUACAAUCUAGUUCUGAAGAAAACUCACAAAAUGAAAAAUUGUUGUCUUUUUCUCUUCAGAGGGGGCAACUAAGAGUUAAUGUGUCUUUCAGACCUCUACAUUCUGCUACCUUGGAGGUACGUCAUCUGCCACUGGAUGAAUUGGAGUUGGCUUCACUUCGGGGCACAAUACAAAGGGCAGAAAUUCAGCUUAAUCUGCAGAAAAGAAGGGGUCAUGGUGUGUUAUCUGUGCUUCGUCCAAAAUUUAGCGGUGUGCUUGGUGAAGCCUUAGAUGUCGCUGUUAGAUGGAGCGGUGACGUUAUCACUGUUGAGAAAACUGUUUUGGAGCAAACCAGUAGCCGUUAUGAGCUUCAAGGUGAAUAUGUUUUACCUGGCACCCGAGACAGAAACCUUGCUGGAAAGGAAAGAGGUGACCUGUUUAAAAGGGCAAUGACUGGACAACUGGGUAGCGUCAUAUCUUCUAUGGGAAGAUGGAGAAUGAGACUUGAAGUUCCUCGAGCUGAGGUUGCUGAGAUGCUUCCGCUUGCGAGACUUCUUUCUCGAAGUGCAGAUCCUGCUGUUCGAUCUAGGUCAAAGGACCUUUUCAUUCAAAGUUUGCAGUCAGUAGCAUUAUAUCCUGAAAGUCUUCAGGAUUUGCUUGAGGUCAUACGGGGACAUUGUACUCCAUCAAAUGAAGUCAUACUGGAAGACAUAAGUCUUCCAGGUUUGGCUGAACUUAAAGGCCGCUGGCAUGGUUCUCUCGAUGCUAGUGGUGGAGGCAAUGGUGACACUAUGGUAUAAAUUUUCAGUUUUUGCAUGAAGCGAUAAUCUCAAAUUAUGUAUUAUCUGCCUUUUCACAACUGUACAUGUGUGUAUUCCCAGGCAGAAUUUGACUUUCAUGGUGAGGAUUGGGAAUGGGGAACCUACAAAACUCAGCGUGUUCUGGCAGUUGGUGCAUACAGCAACAAUGAUGGUUUGCGCCUUGAGAGAAUCUUUAUCCAAAAGGAUAAUGCCACAAUCCAUGCUGACGGCACUUUGUUAGGGCCCAAAACCAAUCUUCAUUUUGCUGUUCUGAAUUUUCCUGUCAGUCUAGUUCCAACUGUGGUUCAGGUGAUUGAAUCUUCAGCUUCUGACACAGUUCAUUCUUUGAGACAACUUUUAGCUCCAAUUCGAGGAAUAUUGCAUAUGGAAGGAGAUCUCAGAGGAAGUAUUGCAAAACCAGAAUGUGAUGUGCAAGUAAGGCUCUUGGAUGGUGCCAUUGGUGGCAUUGAUCUUGGACGAGCUGAAAUUGUUGCUUCUCUAACAUCGACUAGUCGUUUUCUAUUCAAUGCCAAAUUUGAACCAAUCAUCCAAAAUGGCCAUGUACAUAUUCAAGGAAGUGUUCCCAUCAAUUUUGUCCAAAAUAACUCAUUGGAGGAAGAAGACAUAGAAACAGAUAAAACUGGAGCAACUUGGGUCCCUGGUUGGGUGAAGGAAAGGAGUGGAGAUUCCACUGAUGAAGCCAGUGAAAAAAAAAAAUUUCGAGAUAGAAAUGAAGAAGGUUGGAAUACUCAAUUAGCAGAAAGCCUAAAAGUCCUGAAUUGGAAUUUCUUAGAUGUGGGAGAAGUUAGGGUUGAUGCUGAUAUCAAGGAUGGGGGAAUGAUGAUGUUGACAGCUUUAUCUCCUUAUUUCAACUGGCUUCAUGGCAAUGCUGAUGUUAUGCUUCAGGUAAGAGGUACAGUUGAACAACCUGUUCUUGAUGGAUUUGCAUCAUUCCACAGAGCAUCUAUAACUUCACCAGUACUUCGAAAACCACUUACAAAUUUUGGUGGGACAGUACAUGUAAAAUCAAAUAGGCUAUGCAUCACUUCACUGGAAAGCCGGGUCAGCAGAAGAGGAAAGUUAUUUGUAAAAGGCAAUCUACCCCUCAGAACAAGUGAAGCAUCUCUUGGCGAUAAAAUUGACUUAAAAUGUGAAGUCCUGGAAGUACGGGCAAAGAAUAUUUUGAGUGGCCAGGUUGACACUCAGUUACAAUUAACUGGUUCUUUGCUACAACCAAACAUAUCAGGAAAUAUUAAGUUGAGCCAUGGAGAGGCUUAUCUACCACAUGAUAAGGGUAGUGGAGGUUCUGCUUUUAAUAGAUUGGCAUCAAGUCAGUCCAGGCUUCCUGUUAGGGGGCCCAAUCGAGCAGUUGCUUCCAGAUAUUUUUCACGGUUUUUCAGUUCAGAACCUGAUGCUUCAGGGACCAAGUUCCCUCAAACCUCUGUUAAAUCAACUGAAGCUAAGAAGGACUUGGAGCAACUUAGCAUUAAACCGAAUGUAGAUAUUCGCCUUAGUGAUUUGAAGCUUGUGUU